GUCAAAGAUAAAAAGGCUUACGGUGGAUACCUAGGCAUUCAAAGACGAUGAAGGGCGUGGAAACCGACGAAACGCUUCGAGGAGCUGGAAACAAGCAAUGAUUCGGAGAUUCCCGAAUAGGGCAACCUCUUGUACUUCCUUUUGAAUUCAUAGAAAGGAAAGAGACAACCCGGUGAAUUGAAACAUCUUAGUAGCCGGAGGAAAAGAAAGCAAACGCGAUUCCCGUAGUAGCGGCGAGCGAACUGGGAACAGUCUAAACCGAUUCGAUAUUCUCGAGUCGGGGUUGUGGGAAGAAACAAAACUUUUGUAUCUUUUUAAAAGAAAAGGCACUACGAGGUAUCUUUUAUUUAAAUCAAUUUGUGAAGUUGUUAUCUUCUUUUCAAUUCUUUUGCAAAAGAUAUAACAAAUAAAAGGCUCGUAGAUUUACCUAGACGAAGCAGCUGAAUCCUGCACCAUAGACGGUGAAAGUCCGGUAGUUUAAAGGAUAAUAACUAAAAAGAAUUCUUAUCCCGAGUAGCAUGGGGCACGUGAAAUCCCGUGUGAAUCAGCGAGGACCACCUCGUAAGGCUAAAUACUUUUGGAUGACCGAUAGUGAAAUAGUACCGUGAGGGAAAGGUGAAAAAGAACCCCUGUAGGGGAGUGAAAUAGAACAUGAAACCGUAAGCUGUCAAGCAGUGGGAGGACAAGAAUAAAUCUAAUUUUUUCUAAGUUUGACCGCGUGCCUGUUGAAGAAUGAGCCGGCGACUUAUAAGGAGUGGCUUGGUUAAGGUUAAAAGCCGAAGCCAAAGCGAAAGCAAGUCUUAAUAGGGCUCCAUUAAAUUGUCACUUCUUAUGGACCCGAACCCGGGUGAUCUAACCAUGGCCAGGAUGAAGCUUGGGUAAAACCAAGUGGAGGUCCGAACCGACCGAUGUUGAAAAAUCGGCGGAUGAGUUGUGGUUAGGGGUGAAAUGCCAAUCGAACUCGGAGCUAGCUGGAUCUCCCCGAAAUGCGUUGAGGCGCAGCGGUUAACGAUGGGCUGUCUAGGGGUAAAGCACUGUUUCGGUGCGGGCUGCGAGAGCGGUACCAAAUCGUAGCAAACUAAGAAUACUAGACACUGCUUUCCGUUAACCAGUGAGACGGUGGGGGAUAAGCUCCAUCGUCGAGAGGGAAACAGCCCAGAUCACCAGCUAAGGCCCCAAAAUGACCGCUAAGUGGCAAAGGAUGUGAGAAUGCUGAAACAACCAGAAGGUUUGCUUAGAAGCAGCCACCCUUUAAAGAGUGCGUAAUAGCUCACUGGUAGAGCGUUCUUGCGCCGAAAAUGAACGGGACUAAGCGGUCUGCCGAAGCUGUGGGUAAUAUCAUUUGAUUUGAUAUUACGGUAGGGGAGCGUUCCGCUCUAGGGUGAAGCUCCAACGUAAGUUGGUGUGGACAAAGCGGAAGUGAGAAUGUCGGCUUGAGUAACGAAAACAUUGGUGAGAAUCCAAUGCCCCGAAAACCUAAGGCUUCCUCCACUAGGCUCGUCCAUGGGGGGUUAGUCGGGACCUAAGGCCAGGCCGAAAGGCGUAGUCGAUGGAAAACAGGUUAAUAUUCCUGUACUGAUUUUGAAGUGGUACCGAGGGACGAAGGAGGGAACAGUUGGCCAAUAUUGGAUGUUGGCGGAAACGUUCAAGGUGAUGAGAGAUAGAAUAAAAACUAUUCUUGAGCUGAGGCGUGAUACGGUUUUAUUCAAUGUAUGAGAGCUUUGCUCAAAUUCAAAAUAAAACUCAAUUAGUUGUCAAACUUCCUAGAAAAGCUCGAACUUCCAAUACUUCAAAAUUACCCGUACCCGAAACCGACACAGGUAGGUAGGUAGAGUAUACCAAGGGGCGCGAGAUAACUCUCUCUAAGGAACUCGGCAAAAUGGCCCCGUAACUUCGGGAGAAGGGGCGCCCUCAAUUAAGAGGGCCGCAGUGACCAGGCCCAGGCGACUGUUUACCAAAAACACAGGUCUCCGCUAAGUCGUAAGACAAUAUAUGGGGGCCGACACCUGCCCAGUGCCGGAAGGUGAAGGAAGUUGGUUACUUGGACUUGUUCAAGAAAGCUGACAACCGAAGCCCCGGUGAACGGCGGCCGUAACUCUGACGGUCCUAAGGUAGCGAAAUUCCUUGUCAGGUAAGUUCUGACCCGCACGAAAGGUGUAACGAUCUGGGCACUGUCUCGGAGAGAGGCUCGGUGAAAUAGACAUGUCCGUGAAGAUGCGGACUACCUACACCUGGACAGAAAAACCCUAUGAAGCUUUACUGUAACCUGGAAUUGAAUUUGGGCUUUUCUUGCGCAGUCUAGGUGGGAGGCGUUGACAGUUCCCUUCCGGGGGGGCUUGAGCCAUCAGUGAGAGACCACUCUGGAGAAGCUAGAAUUCUAAUGGCGGUCCUUGAAUCAGGACGCUUGACAGUUUCAGGCGGGCAGUUUGACUGGGGCGGUCGUCUCCUAAAAGGUAACGGAGAUGUGCAAAGGUUCCCUCAGGCUGGACGGAAAUCAGCCGAAGAGUGUAAAGGCAGAAGGGAGCUUGACUGCAAGACCUACAAGUCGAGCAGGGGCGAAAGCCGGCCUUAGUGAUCCGACGGUACCGAGUGGAAGGGCCGUCGCUCAACGGAUAAAAGUUACUCUAGGGAUAACAGGCUGAUCUUCCCCAAGAGUUCACAUCGACGGGAAGGUUUGGCACCUCGAUGUCGGCUCAUCGCAACCUGGGGCGGUAGUACGUCCCAAGGGUUGGGCUGUUCGCCCAUGAAAGCGGUACGUGAGCUGGGUUCAGAACGUCGUGAGACAGUUCGGUCCAUAUCCGGUGUAGGCGUUAGAGCGUUGAGAGGAGCCUUCCAUAGUACGAGAGGACCUAGAAGGACGCACCACUAGUAUACCAGUUCUCGUUCCAACGGGAAACGCUGGGUAGCCAAGUGCGGAGCGGAUAACUGCUGAAAGCAUCUAAGUAGGAAGCCCACCUCAAGAUGAGCGCUCUCCAGAGGUCUCGGCAAGAGAAGCCGUUUGAUAGGUGUCAGGUGUAAGGCCAGCAAUGGUUGUAGCUGAGACAUACUAACCGACCGAUUGAAUUUGAC
This 3069-nucleotide ribosomal RNA is filed under the name Trebouxia aggregata. Its description in RNAcentral is "LSU rRNA". It matches the Rfam family "Bacterial large subunit ribosomal RNA". The record is from RNAcentral. Lineage: Eukaryota; Viridiplantae; Chlorophyta; Trebouxiophyceae; Trebouxiales; Trebouxiaceae.